CAGGAGCGAGCACCCUCAAUGGGGACAGGGCGCGCAGCACCAGGUGUCCCACAGUCACUGAGGGUAGUCAGCCCUCGCCUUGGAGCAGGGCACUGCCUCAGGGAGACCCAAACCCCUUCCUGGACUAAAGGAAUAAUAAACACAGGGGAUAUUUUUCCACCCUCCUUUCCCUACUUCUCUUUUUUAGGUAUCAGCCCAGUUCUUCAGGAAAUAUGAGGUAUCCCAUCUCUUUUGGGGAAGAAGCAUUUCCAUUUUAAAAGUGACCUUGUGCAGAUAGAGUUCUGCCCCUGCUUUUCUGUCAUCUGCCUUGGUCUGAAGCUCUUUUCUUGUUCCCUUCUCUGAAAAACAGACCAAGCAGACAAGGACAGAGAAGCACUUCCAUUGCCUGUGCGGGAGCAGGAGGCUGCCUGGUCUGGGUGCCGGGUAGAAGGUUGUGGGAAUAUGGCAUUGGGGAACUGAAACUACAGUCUUUGAAAGGGAAAAGACCACCUCUGCUGCUCCCUUUACACUGUUGACUUUGUUCGCUUUGCAUAAAUGGUUACCGGGCUGGUGUGUGGUGGGUAAAAAAACAUCUUUUGGCCAUUUGAGAUGGGGAAACUCAUCCCAUGUUAAAAUGGAAUUGUGAGAGGGCUUGAGAUACAUCUUAUAGGGAUGGUCCUGUGGGGACCUGAGUGGUGCUCAGGACCCCUGAUGUAACUGAGACACAUGAAGAUUCACAUCUGUUAGUACUUGAAUGAAUGUUAAUUAAAGCAUUUUAAUAAGGAUGUUUUGAGAACUGAAUGUUAGUCAGUGUGUGCCCUCCAUGAAAUAUUUAAUAUCUCAGCCCUUUCAGCAGCGUACUCCUCCCCAGAAGGUCUUCCUGCAAAUGGAGUUUGACACUACUGAUAAUUUUAGAGCUAAAGAAACCUAGAGCAAUAGACUUAUACAAAAAUCAUAAUGUGAUCUUUGAUGUUGCAGUCAAGGGAACACAUGCCAGAAAAUGGUUUGCUCUCUUCAGUUCAUCCUCUCUUUGUGUUUGUUGUUAUUUUCCCAUCAGGCACAACAACAAGCAGCUGAUUAACUCGUUAGCUGAAAGCAUCAAAGGGCGAGGCGAGAGCAUGAAAUCUGCUCCUGUGUUCCUCAGCUGCUCCUUGCAGCUUGGCAGUUUCUGCAGGGCCCAUCUGAGGUUUAGGUUCAGUGAAGGCCACAGUUUGUACCUGAGCAGUGCUCAGCUACAUGCAGCCACUUUCAAUUGAAGGCUACUGAAGGUUUCUCCCCUAACUGGUGUGCUCCUUCACAGUGUUGCCUUGAAAAGAUCAGCAAUACCCCAGAUCAAGCUAGUGGAGGGUAAGUUGAUCUGCCUGUCAUCCGUAUACACCUACAGCCUUUCAGAAGCAAAGGAUUAGCAAAUAGUUUUUUGCACACGCGGUAAAAUCUUGCAGAUCCAAGUAUCUGUCUAAGCAAUCCCUGCAGUUGUGGCACAAGAGCACAGCAAGCGCAUGAACUCCCAGCAGACACCUCAGAGAUCACCGGCAGAUGAUCAGGUACGUAGCAUGACUCUUGCCUUCCACCUCCUCUGACUCCUACUCCAAGGUCAUGGUCUCCUGUCCUCUCUCCUCUUCACCUCCAACAUAUACCUCCAUUUACACUCCAUCAGCUUCUGCCUUCACCUUGCUUGUACCCCUUGUUCCAGUGCCUUGGCCCCAGAUGUGUGAAGCCAGGCAGGUCCAAGCUGGCUCUGCCCAGGACCUCAGCAUGCUCUGCCAAAGCUUCUUAUUUUGGCUUUUGCAGCCUUCUAAAACUUCCACCACCCAUUAGGCAUUAAGUGUUCGCUCCAUCCACAACAGCUGCGGUUCUCCUGGCUUCCUUGAACACCACUAACAGCAAUUGCUGCAGCCCAGUGAGGCUUAAAUGCAACCCAACACCAUCUUGGAGCUAUGCACACAGGAACCUUCUGAGCUUAUGAACAGUCGGUAUUUAUUGGCACUGCUGGGUUCAGGUCCAUUAUGCAUGGCACUGUCACAAGGGGAAAAGACCAGAUUUUGCACCUGCAGAGCUAAAAGGAGUCACUGAUUGGCUCAUUGAUUUUCUCCUAGAGCAAAAGCCUUUGCAAGGAGGUUGCUCGCACAGGCAGCACAGGGGAUCAAAGCUGUUCCUGGAGAUAUCAUCAAAAAGGCUGGGAGCUGCCACGGUGCUUCUGAGAAAUUGAUAUCCAACAGCAAGCCAGGAGCAGUUCGAGACAGCAGAUACAUGUUUAAAUAAUGUCUUUAUUCCAGUUCAGCUGAAAAAAUAAUUAUUGAAUUUGGGUCUUAAGCCAAGAAGUACCUUUGUUUCUGAGUGCUCAUUGAUUAAAACAUCUUGUGCUUUCAGCUGGUCUAAUAAAGACACUACAUUACCCUUCACGAAGAGUAUUAAAAGAAUACCUUUAUUCAGGAGAAGAGAGGAAUUUAGAGAGUGACCUCAAUGUUUCUUGAGAUCUGAAAAGUUUCACCCAGCCUAGAGAACUCCUACUUCUAAAUUCAGGGAUUUCUGCUGGAACAGGAAGUUUCUCUCAAAUUGUUAUCCAGCAAAAUGAGCUCUGGAUUAUAUUUAGCUCCAUUCAUUCAGCACAAUGAAAAGUAAGACUCCAGCCAAUUUCCUUAAGCAAGUUUAUUAAUAAGCACUAGUUGUUUGGUGGCUGGUCAUUUCUAUGUGGCUGGAGAAGGUGAUACAUCCAGCACAGCCUCCCUCCCUCAUCUGAACUAGGAUCCCGGUGGAUUUUAUCACUUUAAGCACUUUAUAACCUUUACUGGUUACCUGUGCAAGCACACCAGCCUAAAAAUUGUCUCAGGUGCAGCUUCCAACCCUGCCCUGGCCAUUCAUGCUUGCUGGCCCAUGGAGCUGCAAAGAAAUCACCAAGGGCAGUUGAGCAGCUUUUAAGCCAGAGGUAAAUAAUCUUUCAGGGACUCCCAACUACAGGUUCGAGGCAGCUUUGUGUAAAGCUAUUAACACUGCAGCUGCUGAUCUGGAGGGAGCCAGAGUCACUGCAGAUACUGCAAUAACAGCGAAGGCUCCCCCAGUGUAUAGAAGCACAUGUUGAAGCCACACGCAAGUCAGGAGCCUUAGGUCAGUGAGGCUGGUUAUAGCCUGGCUGUAAUUCUUGGCUUCAUCCAUCACUUUAUGUGUAUCUAAAGACAAAUCACUUGGGGGUUGGCCUCUGCUGAGGGCUAGAAAACAGACUUAAGGUGGUUUUACGCAUGACAAACUUCAUGACCCAUAACUUUUCAUUUAUUUUGCUGGUUGCCACUUGGCAUCAAUUAUCUGUGGCAUGUUUAGGAUGUGCGGAGCUCAAAAUACCUCCUGCCUGUGCCCAUCUAAUUCAGACUAUAUGACUUGAAUUUGGGCUUGCCCUAUAGAAGUGCGCUCUGUACCACCUGCCUCUAUUUGUAGUCAUCAAGGGGAGAUGUCUAGAGCUGACUGUCUCUGGAACACUUUAGGUCUCAAGCAAAAAUCAAACAAUAUGAUGUCUUAGCUUUGAUUGGACAGCAAAAGCUACUUGCUUUCCUCCAACUGAGAGUGAUGGUGGGGAAGGGAGUGGAGGUCGUCCCCUCUGUGGUUCUGCAAAAACAAGGUAUAGCAAUAUGUGGCUGUCCUCUCCCCAUCUAGAAGCCAUGGUAGGAUGCCUUCACAGGCACAAGGGAAGAGAGGACCUGUGGUAACCACAAAACGUCACAAGUGAGAGUCAAAUGCAGAAGAAGGAGUAAUGUUAGUCUAAUUUCUCCAAGAAAAACUGUAGAUGUCCAUGCACAAGAAGGAAAAAUCAUCUGGCCUUCUGGAAACCAAACACCAGUCCUGGGAAUGUGGUGGCCAGUAUGGUCAUAGGUCCUUUACUGGAACGGCUGGAGCAGUUGUUCCCUCAGUGCUCACCUUGCCUUCCUUGGUACCCAUCACAGCGGCAGUCACAGCACUCGACUUCCCAAAGCUCAGCAGUUUGCACCUUUCAGCCUAUAAAUUCAGGCACAGCUACGAGGCACGUGUUUCAGCCACAUCUGGAAGACCUCAGCCAAAAGGGCUGAAAACAAACUUAUCUUUUAUAAGGACAGCUGAGGCUGUGUGCCUUAGAACAUGGCAUCUUCAGAACAGACACAAAGGAGGUACGUAAGACCACCUGAGCCAGCCAAACACAUUAUAAAAGCAAAUUAUAAAAGUAAUUAAAUAUUAAGCCACAGAAUUUCUUCAAAUUUUAGCAGUUUUUAUGUGUGUGCAUGAUUGGCACUGCUGUUACUCCUGCCAAGCACACAAUUAGCACUUGAGUUAAUAAGAUGUUUUAAUGACUGUCAAAUUAAUCAACAUCUCUGACACUGCUUUCCAGUGUUUUCCAUGGGAAAGACAUUCUUUCAUCUCAGUUCUUAUGUUAUCAUUGUCACCAAUUAUUUGUGUUUAUUCUCUUUACUAUGCUUAUUUGAUUUCAUUCUAAAUUAGAUGCAGCGAUAGGGGAUGUAAUUUGGUAUUUUUCUCUAAUGUGCUGAAUAGAUGAGGAUUAGGGCUCCACAGCUAUGAGAAAAUGAGCCCUCAUAAGCAUUUGUUCAAACAGAAAUCACAGAGCCUUUUUGAGGACUGCCAUGCUCCCUUUGAUUUGCUCUUCAUCAGUGCUUUUGUGAGCUUGUUCACAGAAAGCUUUGCCAAAAUGAGAGUAUUGCUAAGAGAGAUGAAAACAUGUAGUAGCCCAGGAAUACCUGUGAGAAUAUUUGGGCUGACCUGUACCACAGCUUUUUCUUUCUGGUGGUCUGAUAGUGAUCCAGGCAGGAAACCCCCAAUAUUUUCAGGAUUAGCUCAUCAGUCACUCAAACCAGCUAGUGUGCUAUAGAUAGAAGGCAAACAUCAAGUAAAAGCAAUAUGCAGUAUACCCCAAAAAACAGAGAUUUAGAAUUGUUUCAUCCUGAAAAAUUACAAGAAUGAAGAAAACACAUGAUCUGUGGGCAGUUCGCAGCUCUGCCCCAUUUGGGGCAGUGUGAUGGUCUCCCACCCAGGCUGGGAGCGGCGUUGGUGUGUGAUCGGAUUGUUGUAGGUCUCGGUCUGAGAUAUCUCCCUAGGUUUGUUCAAACUGAUGCUUCUGCGGUGAGUGGAAUAGCCUGGGGCUGGAGCUGUGCUGAGAGAAAUGAAAGGCUUUCAUAAAAUUAUGUCAUGUGCUGAAUGUGCCAGCCUGUCAUGUAAUAAUAGCUAAAACUUUCUGUAAUUAAAACAAGUAGCUAGUUAUGGUGUCUGACUAUGAUCAAAGCUCUUUUGUCUGCUUUGACAGUUGGCACAUGUGAAAGAUUUUGGCUUACAUGGAAAACACUAGUGUGGUUUUUCUCUUGAUUUUAAAUGGCAAGAAACAUACAUCUCAGCUUAUCCCUAAACUGAAAGAGAACAGUACCAGGAAAAUAAGAACAAGAAUGUGCAUGAUGUAAAAUAUCUACAGUGUCUGGUAGCAGCAGCUCCUCUAUGCAGCCACUGUGCCUUCGGAGGGGUUGACCCAUUGCUGCAACACAGUGUCAUUUUAUAUUUCUGCAGAGAUGGGAUUAAAGCUCUUGAGAACAUUCCUAAAUGUCCUGCAUUGCCAUUUUAAAAUAAGAAAAGCUUUUGCGUAACAAAUAUUAUUCUGAAUCGUGACAAAUCAAUUGUCUCCUGUCAGAGGGUUAUUUUCCAUUACUUGGAUUGCAAUUGUUGAGAUAUUUUAUGGAUAAAAGCUACCUUUCU
This is a long non-coding RNA of Cuculus canorus (common cuckoo), 5697 nucleotides long. RefSeq lists it as uncharacterized. Lineage: Eukaryota; Metazoa; Chordata; Aves; Cuculiformes; Cuculidae. The transcript is spliced from 3 exons. The record is from RefSeq and is a predicted model, not a curated record.